Long non-coding RNA from Taeniopygia guttata (zebra finch), 5952 nucleotides. Lineage: Eukaryota; Metazoa; Chordata; Aves; Passeriformes; Estrildidae. The record is from Ensembl.
GCAUCAACUAUUCGGAAAGAAGGCGGAAAAACCUUCGAAGGUCGCCAAACCACAAGUGCACAGCCCUCGGCGGCAGCACUGAUUCCCCGGAGGAAGAAGAGGGCUCCUCCCGUGAGAGCAGAGGGCAGCAGGAGAGACAAAGGCUCCGGUUGCCGCCCGGAACCCACCGGCGAGGGAGGAGCGUCUCUAAGAGGCAAUUUCACAGACUCUUCACUUGCUCCUCAAAUCCUGUCGGCAAAACUUGGAAGCCAUAAGGGUACUUGUGCUUCAUUCUUUACCUUUUUCGAGAUGGUGGAUAUUUAUAUUUCCCGCUCACACUGGGGUGUGUGAUUUACAGCGAGAGCAUUCACCACUGGAGAAGUCAGAGGGGUCAGUCCCUCUUAUCACUCCCUUCUUUUACCCCCGGCUUUCACAAGCGCCCAGAAUGAGAGGAUCGCCUUUCCGGGACACAAUAGAAUUGUACUUCAAAAAAUAAACGUGAAGGAAACAUGUUCACAUGCUUUAAAAGCGCAAGACCCUAAAUCCAGCCGAUCUUGCCUGACUGUAAUGUGCUGUACAAGCUUUGUGCACACAGGAGUGCCCUCUAGUGAAUAACAAUAUCUGGAUCUCGAAAGCAAUAUUUUGCCGUGAACAUUUCGCAGUUAAGAGAAAUUGUCACGUUUUUGAACUGCGAGUAAUUUUUUUGCCUUUUCUUUGGAAAUCUGUCCCGUGAAUGAGAAAAUCCUUCUCAUAUAUACACCUUCUAAAACAUCUUGUAGUCAUUCAUAUGGCAGGGGCACUUCUUUAUGAUUUUUGACAAGGGCAUUUAUAACACCUUAAUCAUCGAAAGCUUGGCAAGUAGAAAAGACGGGACACAAGAGUGAAAUUCGUGCAGCAAAUUUUUAUGGAAGUACAGCAAGCUAUAUAAAAAGACAGGUGCAGAAGAUUGCUGGAUCCAAAAGACUAGACAUGAGACAGAGCCAAAUUUGGAAACCCUUGGUAAUAUGAAAUAGCAGAAGCCAAUGAUGUUGCCUAAUGCUUAUGGGGAAAGAGAAGGAUGAACACUGAAAAAUGUCAAAGAGUUGGGGAUGGAGGGCCAUAGCUCCUUGCACAUGGGGUAUGCUAAGAGUAGUGAAGAUACGGUUAUGAGCAUGGAAUAGCAAUAGUGUCCUCCAGGCCCUGAUAAAGAGGCAAAUAAAUCACUGGUCUAAUUUCAAUGAAAAGUCAUGUAUUUCCAGGUUACUGCAGAAGACAGUUGCCCUCAUUCACAUUCCAAUUAAGAUUUCCUCUGGCAUUACAUGGCUGAGAUUUCCUUAAUUGAGUUUUUUCACUUACUGUAAACAUGAGGACAUCCAGGAUGAAGAGAAGUGUCAAAAAAGAGUGUUGUAUAAGUCUGGCACUUAGGAAGAUCUAGUCUUCCUUCUCAUGAAGCAGAUGAAGAUCCCCAUGUAGAACAGGUACUCAGCAAGUGUCCUCAGAAACAAGCAAAAAAUAUUUUGUCUUAGUGCAGACAAACUAAAAGUGUAAAAACUUUGCAAAAUCCACAAGCUCUCUUACUUGCUGGCUCUGCAAAGUCUGCACAUAUGUGGAUAUGCUUUACUGGCACAUCCAAAUCAGAAGGACCAUGAAGAUAAUCUGUAGCUCUCUGACACCCACUGCAUGGCUAUACACAUUCAUGAUAAAAGCUUUGUAUGCUCCUGAUAUGCUUCAGUUUUGAAAAAUAAAUGCUUUCUCCCCAUCAAGUUUAGAUUUGGCUUGAACAAUCCAUCAAAUAACAUUGCAAUUCUUCAUGCUUUUCCUAAGGUUUCUAUUGGAAAGCACAAGUAUUCCCCUGAAGUGUAACAGGGCACAAGAAAGAAAAAAAUUACUUUCCCAGAAACACUGGCAUCCUUUUUAGUUGCCUAGACAGAUGAUAUCCCAAGAAAUUUUGAUAAGGUUUGUCCCAGCAGUACAGCUUAUCAGCCAUGAGCUUCAGCUUUCAAUACAUUAUAUUUAAAGUAUUUGGUGAGAGCUGUAACCAGAAUUGCUGGCACGAAUUCCCCAUGCAGGCAGUGAAAAGACCAAGAAAAGGAGACUGAAGACAGGUAAGUAGUCUGAAGUACCAUGGAGAUUUUGAACCCACUUUGUGCAUGUGAGUUUGUGAAUUAGGUCUGCUUGCCAGAAAAGGGUCCGUAGUGCUGCAGGAAACUGCAGUCGCCUUCAGCUGGCCCCGGUUAGGCAUGCAUUUACAGGCACAGAACCCUGAAUAUUUAUACAUAGUAUGAGUUAGUAAACUUUUGAACAAGUCACUUACUGUGGGAAAAAGUCCUAUAAAUUUCACCAGGCUCAGAAAGAAGUGUUAUUUAUUCAUUGUUAAAAUCUCACAAUGUCUGCAGCUGUUCUUACAGAUUUUAUUGAGGUAACUCUAUGAGACUGGAGAAUGGAUACUGAAAUAAUUUGCUUUAAAAUAAGAAAAGCUGAAAGUGAAACUUUACAGAUUUUUAAAUUCCUAUUUCUUAUUUUAUCAGGUGUACAUUUUCAUUUUCUAUUUAGACAUAGUACACACCAUCAGAAAGAUCAGACUUGAAGUUCUAGUGGAAAAACUCAAGCACAUUCCUACUUAAGCACUUAAGGAUGCGUCUUUCCUCCUUAUGAUGCCUUUCUUCUCCUUGCAAAUAUCGAUUAGCAAAUAUCUAUAACUACAAACAUGGUAAAACCAUGCAAUAAAAUAGGCUGUCAUGCUCAUGGUCACUUUCAAUCUGAGUCACAAAGAAAAUGUGUUUUCAAAUUUUAUGCUUUAGAUGAAUCAGAUUCCUAUAGAGACACAUGCUUCAGAUAUAUUUUUCCAGUCUUAUGCAUGCAUAUAUUUAGUCCAAGAAUUUCCAUUAGUCUAAAGCAGAAUGCUCUGGCAAAAUGUCCUCUGCAGGAGAAAUCAACUAUUUCCAGUUUCUGAAGCCUCUGUUACUGACUGUUCUCUCAACUACAGAGGAUAAUUUAAGUAAGGGUUCUUCUUCAUCUGUAGCCUAAGGUCAACUAGGUCAUGAAAAACAGUGUUGGAAAUGUAAAUGCAAGAUGGCACUUCCUUAAGAGUUAAACAAAAUUUGCAGAAACUAUAUAUAAACAUAAAUGUUGUGAAUUUAAUUUGGGGCAGGGUUGUAGAUAUAAUGAGGUGUUUUCAGAUAUCAUUAGUGAGGGUAACAUACAAUAUUUUCAGGCCUAACUAGAAAUGUCUAAUUGGUUUGGCACCUCCAAAACUGAUGAUCACAUUGUUCAUUUACCUUACAAUCUUUCACUGAGUGAAAUUACUCUGUUGAAGGGCCAUGUGAUAAAAAAGAAAUUAUAAAAUAAAAUGGCUCUGAAGAUCUCAAAUGCCAGCAGUUUAGCAAUUUCUAUUACUGCCUUUACCCAGUGUUCUUGGCCAUAUGGAUUCUUCUUCUUUUGUUGCCUCUUGAGCAACUUUGCAAAUAGAACAUUAAUAAACCCCAAGGACUUAAAAAAAUACCAUAGACCAUGACUUAACCACAUUCAUUUUAGAUUGGUUUACUGGGGAUGAGGAAGAAGAAGGUGACUUUUACAGUAUCUUGGGCUAAGAGGAAGUCUGUAGUUGCCGCCUCACUUUUCCACCAAGGAAAACAAUAAUAUUUGCUUUUAAUUACUUUGGGAUUUUCAACUGCUUAAAUAACAUCAUUGUUCAGAGAAGAAAAGAUUGAAACUAGACAGCUUUAAAAUAUUGCUACUAGUGAAUAAGACUUCUUCUUUAAUCACUUGCAGAAUUAAUAUUAGUUAUGUUUAAUCUUUCUUUAGGUCAUAUUUUCUGUAUGACACUGAAGAUUUUUCAGGUUGUUAUUCUUAAUAUCUGUUUAAACAAAAUGAUGCUGUGAAGAUUUCUCUUUGUUCUUUCACACAUACAAUUCUGCUCAUUAUUUUUUAAAAAGCACUUAACACAUUGAGUUUCACAAUAAAUCUAACUGUACAGCAAUCUCUUUCUUAUAAACUGGUAAAAAAAGAAGAUAUUUUAGUAUAUAUUUAUACAUUGCAGGCAAAGCAAGAAAGGAAGUAUUUUCACACAAGAUUAUUUUUCAUUAAUAUCUGUUGUCAAUGCUAUAAACUGAGAUUUUUCAACAGUAAAUUGUUGGGAAUUUGUUGUUUGUAAUUUCAAACCUUCAUUUUGAUGACAUAUGGGGCUGUGAAGUGUUAGAUAACUGCCUUCAAACAAUAGGCCGUGAAAAUAUUUGAAUACAAAUAAGAUUAUAAUUAAAUGAGGAAUUAAUUUUUUUAAGGGGAUAUGCUAUUAUGGAGCAAAUCUAAUUUCUUUCCUCUCUAAAAUCUAGUUUUCUUAAUAGAUUCAAGUUUAAAAUGAUUUUUUUAAAUGCCCUCAAAAAGAAAAUAAUACCUUGAAGUUUCCUGGCUUUAGCCAUACUUUUUUAUUUUGAACAAGUAUUCUAAAAAUGUUCUUUUUUCCCCUAAUUACUUGUAAUUUCUUGAAUUAUAGUGUGGUACAAAUAAAUCACAAAAAGAACUGCUUGCAUUAUGGCAUUCAGCUGCAAAUUCUGUAUAAUUGUAUGCAGAUACAUACAAGUUUAAGCACACAGUCAAGCAACACACUCACUGAAUUCACAUUUAAACCCAAAGAAGGAUAAUUCCUCUCACAGAGUAUUCUGGAUUCAUAAAAGUAACUGAACACAAUCCCAAAGCAAUGCACAGCUCACCUCAGAAUAAAGAACCAGUAUCCAAGUCAGAGAUAACUUCUGAAAUGUAUUUGCAGUUUCUUGGUAUUUUUUUUUUUGAUCUCUGAAAACAGUAGCAGUGGAUGUCUGGAGAAAAUGGUCCUUGUAAAAGUAAAAUCUUGCCUCUGUGAAGGGCAGCAGACAUUCUUUCACCUGUACCUGCCUUUUGCUAACAUGCCUCUCAGCUUCCCCAUGCCAGACUUAGUCCCACAUCUAAAGAGGCUGGGAAGCCAAGACAGCAUGCCAACACAGUGGAUUGGGUCAGCAUGGGAUAGCAGCUCCAAGCACAUCAGGCAACUGCAGGCUUCAUAACGAGACCUGCUGAGGAAGGACAAGAACAUGCAAAGUAUAAAAAAGAUUCAGUGGUGACUCUGGAUGUUAUGAGGAGUCUAAAUGAAAAUUUAAAUGAAAGUCUACUGGGUAGACUUAAAUAUGUAAUAUUUUAGAGAAAAGGAGGUGUCACCUAUUAUUGGUGUUUGCUUGGCACUGUGUGCAGUGGUCAAAAAUUACCUAUUACUCUAUAAAAAGUGUCCCUGUAGUUCAGGGACAUAUAUAAAUAAGUAGUUCAUACUUAUUUAUAUAUAAUGGAAAAUAAGAUAUGGGAAUUAACUUACUCUCUUGUCUUCCGUGAAACUUUGACACGAAUCUCUUCCACAAGUUUCCAAGAUGCUGGUUCCACUGCAAGUAUUUGGAGUGCAUUUUAGUGUAUGUCACUAUACCUUACAAUUGAAGUGUUAAGUAUUUUUAGGUUUCUGUUGAAUUCUCAAGACGUAGAUGAUGAAGGAAGAUGAAUUCUUAUAUAGGCAGAAAACAAAUACAUGGGCACUACCUUCAUUUAGUUUUAUUGCUCUAUCAGUAUUUGGUUUUGCACUUUCCUAUCAGUAUGAUAAUCACAUUCUUAGCUUGUGUGUUUAUGUGUUUUUUAAGUCAGCCUAAGAGCUCUUGUCAUUAACAGGAAAUCUGUAAGCUUAACAAAAAUUUGGCAGCUGGCAGAGAGAGUAAAAGGUGGAGCUCAGGGGUUAUGAGUAUGGGGCUGAGCAGAGAGAAUUCAGGGUGUUUUUGCAGGGUCUGGGGCUCAAUCACAAAACUUAAAUAAGAGAGAAAUACCAAUUUUGCAUGUCACAUCCUACGACAGUAUUGCAAAUGUUCAAGAACCAAAUGCAUUUGAAAAAAAAGGUUGCUUACUUCCUCAGUGCCAUUUACAUGUUGCCCAAAAAAGCAGAUAUCAAGGUUGCACCAAAAAAAAAAAAAAAAAAAAAAAAAAAAA